RNAcentral lists this long non-coding RNA (4006 nucleotides) under Homo sapiens (human). Its description in RNAcentral is "HSALNT0300765". The record is from RNAcentral. Lineage: Eukaryota; Metazoa; Chordata; Mammalia; Primates; Hominidae.
AUAUAUUGCAAAUCUCCAUGGGAGGGUAUACCGUAUGAUACAUAUCAAUUCUCAAGUUUAUUUGUCUAAAGACUCUUGUGUAUUUCACAAAACAUCUAUAAUUUCUCAUGGACAUUAGCAUUCUGCAAAAACAUUACUAAGUCAAACCCAAUAGCUUGAGAUACAAGGCCUUCUAUGAGAUAAACUGCUUAAUUCUCCCAUCUCACUUACCUUCUAUCAAACACGCAUCCCAUUUUCCCAUGCUACAAAACUGGUUACAGUUUUCUAACAUAUCAUCAAUUUUUUCAUAGUUAUAUGUUGCUAAUAAUGCUUCCCCUUCUGCCUGAAAUUCGACUUCCUUUCAUCUGCCUUAUAAAAUUAUAUUCAUUCUUCAAGGCACUGCUCAAAUGUUUCUCCCUCUUUGGACCUUUCUGUGUCCUAUCCCAAAAAAAUUAUGAACUCUUUUCUGUGGUUCUCAUCCCUCUCCUCUCUUUCUCUCUCUGUCUCUCUCUUUCUCUCUCUCUUUCUCUUGAUCUGCCUAUAUACACACAUACACAAUACAUAUACUUUAAUAUAUAUGCAGUUUUAUAUAUAAUCUAUAUAAAAUAUGGUAUUUAAUAUUAUAUUAAAGAUGAGUGAGAUAGAAAUAAACACAUAAAGAGACAAACAUAAAUGAAAACAUGUUAUAUAUGGAUGUUCAUCAUAAUAUUUUUCACUUAUGUGUUUACUUAUGCUUUCUUCACUGAACAAUGGAUUCCUUAAAGGCAGUGACUAUGUCUAAUUUCUCUCUUAACCUCUCUAUUCACAUAAUCUAAUGAAAUGCAUAGCAUUCAAUGUCUGCUAAGGGCAUGUUCAAAUGAAUUCACUCAUCUCGCUUAUAGCUGAAGUCCAGGCCAUCCCACCACUCAAGAUGAACUUGUGUGCUUUUGCACAAAUGCAGUUCUGCCUGCUGAUCUCCCUCUGGUGGGAGCUUCACUUUGCCAAGGACACUGGUCCAGAACCACUAUGUAAGAUUCAAAAUAGAUAUCAUGGUAAUGGAUAUAGUCUGGCUCUUGCUCUACUCUCCAAGCCAUGAUUCUGGCAUGGACUGUGCUAUCCUGGAAGAAGAAGCUUCUUUUUGUGUUCUCACAAAGCAUGCAUGAAUGAUGACAGCCAUGCACCAGGCCAUCCAGAAACUAUUGGUUCCCUGUUACUCCUGUUAGUGUAUUUGGUACUGCCAGUGUACUCUGCUACUCUCACCUAAAUAAAUCUCCCCAGGAUCUGUGAAUAAGAUGCUGAUAGGAUUUUCCAACAGGAACAUUUCCCCAAGAUGUUCAUGCUAGAGCAGGUCUCAGAUAUGGGUUAUUAUUCAAUGACACAUUUGGGCAAGGGAGAAUAACAAAACCUAAUCACAAAUGUUCAUCACUGAUCUCUAUGGUAAUUGUCAAAUUUAAAGAUGGAGGCAAGGGUGAACUGCCUUUAAUGCUGAAAGCUGCCUGUGCCACACUAAAGUUCUUGUAGUGCCAGAAUGGAUACAUCACCACAGAACCUGAUAUAUCACAGAAUUGUAGUCCAAUGCAAUCAUACAAUAUGGAGACAGAGACCUGAUUACCAGGUGACAUAGCAUUUGGGCUGGUUGGCCUAAGAAGGUAGAGAUUGUCCUCAAUAAGGUGGAGAAAUGUAAAUACACUAGUAUAUAAGAUGAUAGGCUUCCACUACAGAAAGUGAACUUAUUUAGAGAAUAGCUCUCCUUGCUGAGUUGUGAAACCAGCUAUCUUCAAAGUUCCUGGGUCAACAACCGUGAAUGCCUAGGCACUGAGUAAGAUGAUGGAGGAUUAGCCACUGGACCAGGGGAGUGAUAACUAAAACCACUUUCAGGAUUGAUCCCAUCCACUGGCCUACAGUAAAAAGCUUCAGGCUUGAUAUAAGUGAAGUGUAGAAAAAUAUCUUUAAAACAAAUAAUGGUUUCCCAUAAUAUGCCAUUAUUUUAAAACUUUUAAUAUUUUGACAUCUUUUAUUUAUUAUCAUUAUUGUUUACAUGGAAUAAAAAAUUCUUAUUUUUAUGAAAAUAGAUUCAAACUGUAUAUAAUUAUGUGAAUUAUGUGUCUUGACUUUUAAUUUAAAAUAUAUAAUGAACACCUUUCUAGGCCAGUGUGUGUAUGCAUAUGAGAGUGGGGCAGGUGUAUACAUUAGCACAUAUAUAUAUACAAUUAUACAUAAAAUUUGUUUUUUAUAUAAUUAAUCCAAUUUAUUUUCACUUACUUUUUAAACAGAUUUAUUGAGGCUCAAUUAACAAACAGUAGACUGAACCUAUUGAAUGCAUACAUUUGUGAGUUUUGACAUGUAUGCACACUCACACUUAAUGUGAAACCAUAACCACACUACACACUACAAUAAAUGUGUUCAUUAUCCUGUUUCCUUAUGCCCUUCUUAAUCUUCCUCUCCUAUUCCAGCCCCUGCCAUUCUCAAACAACCACUGGUCUGCUUGAUGUCAUUAUAAGUACAUUUUUAUUUCCUAGAAUUGUUGUAAGUAGAAUAGUAUAAUACUUAUGCUUUUCUGUUUCAUUUUGUUCACUCAUCAUAAACGCUGUUUUUUUGUUUGUUUGUUUGUUUUUGUUUUGUUUUGUUUUGUUUUUUGAGAUUGAGAGUUUUGCUCUCAUCACCCAGGCUGGAGUGCAGUGGCAUGAUCUCAGCUCAUUGCAACCUCCACCUCCCGGGUUCAAGAAACUCUCCUGCCUCAGCCUCCUGAGCUGGGAUUACAGGCAUGGGACACUACGCCACUACGCCUGGCUAAUUUUUGUAUUUUUAGUAGAGAUGGUGUUUCACCAUGUUGGCCAGGCUGGUCUCAAACUCCUGACCUCAAGUGAUCUGCCAGCCUCAGCCUUCCAAAGUGCUGGGAUUACAGGCGUGAGCCACUGCACCCGGAUAUGAACGCUUUUAAAUUUAUCCAUGUUGUUGCAUGUAUCAAUAGGUUGUUCCUUUUUAUUGUUGACUGUUAUUCUAUUGCAUGCUUGUAACACAGUUUUUUUACACAUUCAUACAUUUAAAUUAUUUGGCUAUCACAAAUUAAGAUAUUAUAAACAUCCAUUUGUAAGUUUUAUAUGGACAUAUGCUCUAUUUACUUAGGAGUACUGUGGCUGGACCAUAUGGCAAAAAUAUUUAAAGUUCUUGAAAAACUAUAAAAUUGCUUUUCAAAAUGACUGUAUCAUUUUAAAUUCCCACAAGCAGUGUAUGAGUGCUUCAGUUGCCGACAAAGCCUCACCAACAAUUGGUAUAACCAGCCUUUUUAAAUUUAGCCUUUCUAAUAAGUAGGAGUAAUAUCUUAUUGUGGUUUUAAUUUGCAUUUCGCUGAAGACUAAUGGUGUUUAGAGUAUAUUCAUGUACUUUAUUUGCUAUUCAUAUGUCUUGUUUGUUUGUUUGGUAAAGAGUCUGUUCGUAUCUUCUGCUUUUGUUAUUGUCUUCAUUGUUUUCUUAUUAUUGGGUUUUGAGACUUAUUUAUGUGUAAUGAAUACAAGUCCUUUAUCAGAUACAAGAUUUUCAAAUAUUUUCUCAUAGUCUGUGGUUGUCAUUUCAUUAUCUUUACAGUAGCUUUAGAAAAUCAGUACUUGUUGAUUCUGAUGAAGUCCAAUUUAUCAACUCUUUUUCUCUUCUAUUGCACUUUUGGAGUUGUAUCUAAAAAAUUCUGUCUAACCCAAUGUCACAAACAUAAUCUCCUAAGUUUUCUUCUAAAAGAUUUAACGUUUCAGGUUUUACAUUUAGGUCCAUAAUCAAUUUGUGUUAGUGUUUGUCUAUUUGUGUCUAUGGUGUUAGGGAUGGUUUGAAUUUCAUUAUUUGCAUAAGGAUUCCAGUAGUUCUUAUGUAACUGCUGAAGACUGUCCUUUCUCCACUGAAUGGCCUUUGCAUCUUUGUCAAAUAUAAAUUGACUGUAUAUGUGUGGAUCUAAUUCCAGAUCCUAGUUAGUUCCAUUGAUCUGUAUAACUUAAUAACUUAGCGUAAAUACUACACUGUCUUGAUUAAUGUAGCUUGAUAAUAAAUCUUGAACUCAGAU